AAGAUUAUACUUUCGGGGACCAUUUCUAUAGUUCAUUACUAGAGAAGUUUUUCUGAUCCUAAAGAGCACUGGAAACAACAAGGAGGAGAUGCAGCAUUCUCUCCUGAGCCUGAAGCUGGCUCUUGGUGUUGCGUUACUACAACUACUAUUUGUCAUUGAUGAUGGUUCUUGCUUUCCUUCAGGAUAGCAAAAGGGGGAGGAUGCAAUCUGAGUGGG
Molecule: small nucleolar RNA, 216 nt
Filed under: Carlito syrichta (Philippine tarsier)
Lineage: Eukaryota; Metazoa; Chordata; Mammalia; Primates; Tarsiidae
Description: Small nucleolar RNA U3 (ENSTSYG00000026002.1)
Rfam family: Small nucleolar RNA U3
About the family: Small nucleolar RNAs (snoRNAs) are involved in the processing and modification of rRNA in the nucleolus.
Source: Rfam by way of RNAcentral